CAAAAUGUAGCUUAACCAAAGCACCUGGCCUACACCCAGAAGAUCUCAGCAAGUACUGACCAUUUUGA
RNAcentral lists this transfer RNA (68 nucleotides) under Oryzorictes tetradactylus (four-toed rice tenrec). RNAcentral's name for it is "partial tRNA-Val". It matches the Rfam family "tRNA". Rfam says of the family: Transfer RNA (tRNA) molecules are approximately 80 nucleotides in length. Their secondary structure includes four short double-helical elements and three loops (D, anti-codon, and T loops). The record is from RNAcentral. Lineage: Eukaryota; Metazoa; Chordata; Mammalia; Afrosoricida; Tenrecidae.